GCAAGUCGAGCGAACAGAAGGGAGCUUGCUCCCGGAUGUUAGCGGCGGACGGGUGAGUAACACGUGGGUAACCUGCCUGUAAGACUGGGAUAACUCCGGGAAACCGGAGCUAAUACCGGAUAGUUCCUUGAACCGCAUGGUUCAAGGAUGAAAGACGGUUUCGGCUGUCACUUACAGAUGGACCCGCGGCGCAUUAGCUAGUUGGUGGGGUAAUGGCUCACCAAGGCGACGAUGCGUAGCCGACCUGAGAGGGUGAUCGGCCACACUGGGACUGAGACACGGCCCAGACUCCUACGGGAGGCAGCAGUAGGGAAUCUUCCGCAAUGGACGAAAGUCUGACGGAGCAACGCCGCGUGAGUGAUGAAGGUUUUCGGAUCGUAAAGCUCUGUUGUUAGGGAAGAACAAGUGCGAGAGUAACUGCUCGCACCUUGACGGUACCUAACCAGAAAGCCACGGCUAACUACGUGCCAGCAGCCGCGGUAAUACGUAGGUGGCAAGCGUUGUCCGGAAUUAUUGGGCGUAAAGGGCUCGCAGGCGGUUUCUUAAGUCUGAUGUGAAAGCCCCCGGCUCAACCGGGGAGGGUCAUUGGAAACUGGGAAACUUGAGUGCAGAAGAGGAGAGUGGAAUUCCACGUGUAGCGGUGAAAUGCGUAGAGAUGUGGAGGAACACCAGUGGCGAAGGCGACUCUCUGGUCUGUAACUGACGCUGAGGAGCGAAAGCGUGGGGAGCGAACAGGAUUAGAUACC
RNAcentral lists this ribosomal RNA (746 nucleotides) under Bacillus sp. SC-C1-7. Its description in RNAcentral is "bacterial SSU rRNA". It matches the Rfam family "Bacterial small subunit ribosomal RNA", at positions 57 to 786 of the family's 1533-position model. Lineage: Bacteria; Bacillati; Bacillota; Bacilli; Caryophanales; Bacillaceae. The record is from RNAcentral.